GCCAUGGAUGGCAUGAAUACCUCAGGGAGGAAGUUGGUAGCAUCUAAACUCUGAGGGGAGAGGGAUUCCUCUAAAAUAUCUUUGUUUGAUUUCCUGGAUCCUGAUCAAGCCUAUUCCAGGACUAAAAACUCUGUUGGAGAUUCUCAAGCUGACCGGUAUGACUUCAUGGAGAUUCUCAAGCUGACCGGUAUGACUUCAUGGAGAUUCUCAAGCUGACCGGUAUGACUUCAUGGAGAUUCUCAAGCUGACCCGUAUGACUUCAUGGAGAUUCUCAAGCUGACCCGUAUGACUUCAUGGAGAUUCUCAAGCUGACCGGUAUGACUUCAUGGAGAUUCUCAAGCUGACCCGUAUGACUUCAUGGAGAUUCUCAAGCUGACCCGUAUGACUUCAUGGAGAUUCUCAAGCUGACCGGUAUGACUUCAUGGAGAUUCUCAAGCUGACCCGUAUGACUUCAUGGAGAUUCUCAAGCUGACCCGUAUGACUUCAUGGAGAUUCUCAAGCUGACCCGUAUGACUUCAUGGAGAUUCUCAAGCUGACCGGUAUGACUUCAUGGAGAUUCUCAAGCUGACCGGUAUGACUUCAUGGAGAUUCUCAAGCUGACCGGUAUGACUUCAUGGAGAUUCUCAAGCUGACCCGUAUGACUUCAUGGAGAUUCUCAAACUGACCGGUAUGACUUCAUGGAGAUUCUCAAGCUGACCCGUAUGACUUCAUGGAGAUUCUCAAACUGACCGGUAUGACUUCAUGGAGAUUCUCAAGCUGACCGGUAUGACUUCAUGGAGAUGCUCAAGACACCCUCUCCCUACAUCCCCUCUGAUGGCCUGGCCUUUGACCCCCUGGUGGACCUCAUCAACGUCAUUGUCGGGGACCUCCCCGAUGUCUGCAUACUGCUGGGACCCUUUGUGGACUCCAAACAUGAGCCGAUAGAGCAGUUUCUGUUGACUGAGACGUUUGAUGCCAUCUUCUCCAGAUGUGUAGGGAGCAUCGUGAAAGGCCCUGAGGG
Molecule: long non-coding RNA, 1000 nt
Organism: Oncorhynchus keta (chum salmon)
Lineage: Eukaryota; Metazoa; Chordata; Actinopteri; Salmoniformes; Salmonidae
Exons: 3
Source: RefSeq, a predicted model, not a curated record